CUAAAAGGCCCUAGGCCCUACCUAGAAUUAAAAAUUCUAGGUAAGGCCUAGGGCCUUUUAA
RNAcentral lists this ribosomal RNA (61 nucleotides) under Vaucheria litorea. The record is from RNAcentral. Lineage: Eukaryota; Xanthophyceae; Vaucheriales; Vaucheriaceae.